Molecule: non-coding RNA, 61 nt
Filed under: unclassified sequences
Description: GP20-b RNA
Rfam family: GP20-b RNA
Source: RNAcentral
GGUCUACCUGCGGACCUAAGAAUGCAGGACGGUGGGAGCUGGCGACCUCCUAAAACGCCUA